Hypomesus transpacificus is the source of this 244-nucleotide long non-coding RNA. RefSeq lists it as uncharacterized. The record is from RefSeq and is a predicted model, not a curated record. The transcript is spliced from 2 exons. NCBI's taxonomy places the organism in Eukaryota, Metazoa, Chordata, Actinopteri, Osmeriformes, Osmeridae.
CCAGGGACUGACGGCCACACACCUGGGCACAGGGAGACGGCAGUGAGGGGAAGGCAUGCCUGCAUAACCAGCGUGAGGCCUAUCUGCUGUGUGCACCAGUGGUACUCACCGGACGGGUGCCAGCAACACCAUAGACCACCUGGGACCUGAUAUCAGAGCCAUUCAGGACAGGAGCCAUCUUACUGGAAAACUUCAGGCGUGAUCUGGACCACACACACACACACACACCACCAUCAUGAUUAUC